Non-coding RNA from Brassica napus (rape), 216 nucleotides. NCBI's taxonomy places the organism in Eukaryota, Viridiplantae, Streptophyta, Magnoliopsida, Brassicales, Brassicaceae. The record is from Rfam.
ACGACCUUACUUGAACAGGAUCUGUUCUAUAGGCUCGUACCUCUGUAUCCUUGAUUUCUAAGGAGACAGUCCCCAAACCCUGGUUGAUGAAUCAUGGCUGUGCGAUUUGAGUGUGAUUAACGGCCUGCGAUUGUCCUCGGACUCUCUUAGCUGUAGAGGAUCGCUACCUAGACUGGCUUGACCUCCUAGGGUGGUCGCAUGGUUGUCUGACAGGUU